This is a long non-coding RNA of Physeter macrocephalus (sperm whale), 2527 nucleotides long. RefSeq lists it as uncharacterized. Lineage: Eukaryota; Metazoa; Chordata; Mammalia; Artiodactyla; Physeteridae. The record is from RefSeq and is a predicted model, not a curated record. The transcript has 5 exons.
AGCCCCCUCCCCAAAUUCUAGCCCACUCGUCUAGAGGAAGAAAAUCACUGAAUGUGCAGGAUGAGUGCACUGGUGGAGUUUUCGAAAGCCCCACAGGUGAUACUAGAUGCACGCACACACAGGAACACACAUCUUGUGAGUCCGAGACUAAACAGGUCAACCCGACGUUCUCUCUCUGACCCUCCUCUCCUUCCGUAGCUACUCUUUGUAAAGGUCUCCGCGUUCUCUUCAGCUUCCCUUUACGGCCCCCUAGCUCGGGGGCUUUGUGGAGUCCCCCAAAGUCCUGGAACCCCGCGGGACGGUCAGACGCUUUGGCGGCCAGACGUUAGAAAAAGUGUCCCCGCUCUUUGCCGCCCUUGUGCACCCUGGAGCGCGAACUGAAUACCAAAGAGCCAUUUGAGAUAGAACUGAGAACAGGAAGCCCACUGUCUCAGAGAACUGGACCAAGGAUGGUGCUCCCCAAGCAACGGAGGGCUUCAGGGAGUCGGAGCGGUGGGGGAGCAAAGGCAGGAGCCAAUACCCCUUGUGUUCCAGGCUGGCAUCAGCAAGCAGUGACUGGGAUCUUAGUUCCCUCACCAGGGAUCAAACCCAUGCACCCUGAAUUGGAAGCACGGAGUCUUAACCACUGGACUGCCAGGAAAGUCCCCUGAGAACCAGUUUUAAUGAGAUACUUCUUGCUAACUCUAUCAGCUAUCUGGCAAUAUGAAGCUGUCUACAAGAAGACAAAUCACAAGGAAAUAGUACUUUCUGAAUGGGGUCAGUUUCUUUAUCUGCUGGGACCAGAGUCAACCCCUUUCCCAACUGAAGUUACUCUGAGCCAAAAGAAGCUGCCCGUCUGUUCUUAUGUGGAAACUUCUCCAUAGCCCGUGAAAUGGGUCUGAGCCUUAUGGCCAUGACUGCUGCACUUCUAUUUAUUAUCAGAAUUGGAUGCUGAACAUUUUCUUCUUGCUUCUGUUGGCUAAGAGCAGCCCUACCGCCUCCUUAUAACUGAGCCAGUUACCUGCCAGGACAGUGAUGCCUUGCCUUGCCUACUGAUCUCUUGACACAAGGAGUCAAAAGUAACCCCCGCCAGCCAUAGUUAAAAAUUUAAUGGGAACCUUGCUGGGUCCUCUGUUGGAAGCCCUUCUCUCUGAAAAACAGAACCCUUAAAUCCAUAAAGCUCAGAGUUAUGGGGAUGGGAAACACAAAUUUCACAAGUGGGUGGCUAGGAGUGAUGGUGAGUGGGCGAUUCCUAAUUCUGCCCCUUGGUUUCUGGACCCAUGUAUUCUACCUACUGAGGACACAGCACCAUGUUAUGGCAGUUGGUUUACAGCUUUCAAAUUUUUAGUCUCAGGACCCCUUUAUACUCUUAAAAAUUAUUGAGGACCCCCACAGAGCUUUUGUUUAUGUGGGUGAUAACUAUUAAUAUUGUAUUAGAAUUCAAAACUGAGAACAUUUUGAAAUGCUCCUUUUCAUUUGAAGAUAACAAUGAGGAACACACAGCAGGUUAACAGAAAUAACAUCUUAGCAUAAUUAUUACGAAAUUACUUUUGACCUGGUGGAACUCUGAGAUCCAUCCUAAAAUGUCAGAUUGUUCCAGAAUAUGAAGGAGAAUGAUAAGGGACAAAUUUGGUAAGUGAAUUUUACUUGCUUUGGCUUAUAACACUUGAAUCUUAAAAGAAGCUAUGGAAUGUGUUAAAAUGUUGGUAAAGUUUGAUCCACUUUAAUGGGCUUUGCCUCCUUGAUUAACUGAUGAAUGCCUUUGCCAACAAUAUGAAGGGUUAUUCUUCACUUUCUGUGUAAUCUACCUACAUAGCAAAAAUACUUUAUGUUAGCUUUGUUAUAUCCUUGAUUAUUUAAGAAAAAAGAAUCUCAGUUAUAAAAGAAGUUACAUGUACUUUAUAAUCAUUUUACUUUCUAUUUUUUUCAAUAAAAUUUUUUUUAUUGCUAUUUUGAUUAAAUAGCUAACUAUCGUUUUUCAGGCACCCAUGAUCCCAUCUUUGAUCAAAUGUCCAAAUCUCCUCUAACAACUUUUUUGAUUUUUGCAUUCCCCAAAUCAGAUCCAAACAUAGAAAUACCGAAAUAAAGAAAGAAAAAAAGAGAACGUUUCAGUAUAUCUUUUACACUGAAAUCUAUUUUGACAUUUCCCAGAGGGCACCCCCAAAAUCACAAAGAUUUGUGUUCUGUCACCUUAUAAAAAGAGAGAUGCUAGAAAUAAUUUGGGGUUUUUUGAUAUGUUACUAUUUUGUAAAGUUUCAUGGAAAAAAUUGUCAAAUCAGAAGAGACACACAGCCUUCCCUUGGUUAAAUUUGGGUAGGUAAAACCUUAUUAAUAUAAAGAUUUCAGAAAGUAUAUGAUUCAUGGGAAGUCCCUGGAUGUUUGCCAGUGUCCUCACUUUCCAUAAUAUAUUUUAACUUCAGAGGAAACACUGAGUAGACUCUGUUUAGUUUUCCUAUAUUUGUCAGAAUCCUUGUGGUGCUUUGCCUAAAGUUAGACAGCAACAGUAGUAUAGUGUUAUCCAUCAUUUCAGUUACUGUUUAAAGUAUUA